RNAcentral lists this ribosomal RNA (489 nucleotides) under uncultured bacterium. Its description in RNAcentral is "partial 16S ribosomal RNA". It matches the Rfam family "Bacterial small subunit ribosomal RNA", at positions 30 to 506 of the family's 1533-position model. The record is from RNAcentral.
AUUGAACGCUGGCGGCAGGCCUAACACAUGCAAGUCGAACGGUAACAGGGAUCAGCUUGCUGAUUCGCUGACGAGUGGCGGACGGGUGAGUAAUGUCUGGGAAACUGCCUGAUGGAGGGGGAUAACUACUGGAAACGGUAGCUAAUACCGCAUAACGUCGCAAGACCAAAGAGGGGGACCUUCGGGCCUCUUGCCAUCGGAUGUGCCCAGAUGGGAUUAGCUAGUAGGUGGGGUAACGGCUCACCUAGGCGACGAUCCCUAGCUGGUCUGAGAGGAUGACCAGCCACACUGGAACUGAGACACGGUCCAGACUCCUACGGGAGGCAGCAGUGGGGAAUAUUGCACAAUGGGCGCAAGCCUGAUGCAGCCAUGCCGCGUGUAUGAAGAAGGCCUUCGGGUUGUAAAGUACUUUCAGCGGGGAGGAAGGGAGUAAAGUUAAUACCUUUGCUCAUUGACGUUACCCGCAGAAGAAACACCGGCUAACUCCGU